RNAcentral lists this ribosomal RNA (221 nucleotides) under uncultured bacterium. Its description in RNAcentral is "partial 16S ribosomal RNA". It matches the Rfam family "Bacterial small subunit ribosomal RNA", at positions 109 to 334 of the family's 1533-position model. The record is from RNAcentral.
CGGAACACUACACAACCUUCCGAUAAGUGGGGAAUAGCCCAGAGAAAUUUGAUUAAUACCCUAACAUAUAGAGUAGGCAUCUUCUUUAUAUUAUAGCUUCGGCGCUUAUUGAUGGGUGUGCGUCUGAUUAGGUAGUUGGCGGGGUAACGGCCCACCAAGCCUACGAUCAGUAGCUGAUGUGAGAGCAUGAUCAGCCACACGGGCACUGAGACACGGGCCCG